This 194-nucleotide ribosomal RNA is filed under the name Fusarium equiseti. RNAcentral's name for it is "partial large subunit ribosomal RNA". It matches the Rfam family "Eukaryotic large subunit ribosomal RNA", at positions 82 to 279 of the family's 3401-position model. Lineage: Eukaryota; Fungi; Ascomycota; Sordariomycetes; Hypocreales; Nectriaceae. The record is from RNAcentral.
AGUAACGGCGAGUGAAGCGGCAACAGCUCAAAUUUGAAAUCUGGCUCUCGGGCCCGAGUUGUAAUUUGUAGAGGAUACUUUUGAUGCGGUGCCUUCCGAGUUCCCUGGAACGGGACGCCAUAGAGGGUGAGAGCCCCGUCUGGUUGGAUGCCAAAUCUCUGUAAAGUUCCUUCGACGAGUCGAGUUGUUUGGGA